Molecule: long non-coding RNA, 325 nt
Organism: Cydia splendana
Lineage: Eukaryota; Metazoa; Arthropoda; Insecta; Lepidoptera; Tortricidae
Exons: 2
Source: RefSeq, a predicted model, not a curated record
AACUAACUAUUUUGGCUCAGCGAUCCAAAGAGAAUCUUGGCCUCCGAAACGAGAGCGUGCCACCUGUCCCGAUCCUGCGCAACUUCCUGCCAGUUACUGACGCGAAGCUGAAGCAGAUCCGCCGCCACACUAUCUUCCCAGCGAUACCUGGGCCGACCCACCGGACGGCCCGAUCCUCUCCCAUUCUGAGUAGGUGACCGAACCAGCGAAGUCUGUGCGCUUUCGUUUCGCCGACGAUAUUGGGUUCGGCCACUAACUCCUCGAUCUCGGCAUUUUUCCGGAUCCUCCAGGUGCCGUCAUCUCUCUGAAUAGGUCCCAGGAUCUU